AUGGAGAUCUACUCCAAGGAGGAAGAAUUUUGGCGCCAAUGCGGUUCUAUAAAAUGGGUACUGUUUGGUGAUGCCAAUACAGCUUACUUCCAGGCGAUCGCCAAUGGCCGCAGGAGACGUUGCUCCAUCCCCCUUUUAUGGGAGGGCGGCCGUCUUUGUCAGGAUCCACCAACGAUUCGCGCCUUGGUGGAUGACUUUUAUAAGUCGUUAUUCAUGGGCCGUGCUAGGGGUGGUGUCGCUCUGGCCAACCAUAUUUGG
RNAcentral lists this ribosomal RNA (258 nucleotides) under Triticum aestivum (bread wheat). RNAcentral describes it as "partial small subunit ribosomal RNA". The record is from RNAcentral. Lineage: Eukaryota; Viridiplantae; Streptophyta; Magnoliopsida; Poales; Poaceae.